UCGUUACUCAGAAAAAGUGAUUGGUACUCGAGUUUAAAAGGUAAUAAAUUAGUCAAACGUAUAAGGUAAAGGCAUCAGUGCUCAGACAUGCACCAGUGUGCCAAAAGUAGGUGUUAUUAUAGAUUAAUAAAGUAUGAAUUGAAAAGUAACUUAAAUUUUAAAAGAAUUGCUUAGCAUAAACCACAACACUACUUCAAAGAAGUGCUGUCUUCUGACAUGAAGGGAUAUGUCAUAUGCGCCAUUUUUUUGGAGCGUCACAUGGUAUUUUGAUCAGACGUUAGCAGCCGAAUUGUGCACUGCUUCACGUAAUUAAUACUUAAUUUGUCUGGAAAAAGUAAAAAAUUAAUAUAAAUCCAUAUUAAAGUACGCCCUGGCCGAUUACUGGGUUUGAGGCAGUAAUUUUAAAGGGAUCGUGGACCCAGAGGUCAGCCGAUAGAGGCUGAGCAUAGGUUUCAAGAUUUUUUUAUUAUUUUCAAAUGCAAUGUAAGUCGUUAAAUCAAGCACCUUUAAAUAUCUACAUUAUUAUGACUUUAUUUCAUUGAAAUACAUCAAAUACUCAGUAGUCAUCCUGUGGCUGACCACUGGACACUGAGAUCACGGAACUCGGAACCCAAUAGCCAGGCGUUAAAAUGAGAUGGCUGUAUAUUGGGUACUUAAAGGCUGUGUCUUGGUAGACGGAAGGCUGAUUACUGGCAAAAAGGGCCCUUGCAUUAUAUUUAAUGAAAUAUUUCCAUAAGCUAAAUUAAAUUACGUUUUAUUCUUUAUAAAAAUUAAACUUUAAUAAAUUAUUGAUGAGUAAAAACAUUCAUAAUUCUUAUUGAUCAAUUAGUGGGCAAAUGAGACGUUCUUGAACAUAGAAAUCUCGUGGAGGGGUUGACUAUUGGUGCCUUUACCCUACGAUAAGUACGAGAGAAACGUCUAACUCGUCUGGAGCGUUUGCCGAAGGUUAUAAAUAGCUCAGUUUUAAGCCAGGACCGCCAUUAUAUUUUUGACCGUCGGAUUGUCACUUUCUCUGGCUUAUUCGUAGACGUAAAAACAAAGAGCCAGUUCAGUGUCAGGUUGCAUGGUCAACCUACCGAGUACACCUAACCAAACGGUGACAAGCAGGUUUACUCGGGAAUCCAGUAGAGAGUUAGGUCCAGGUCGCGAGAGGGGCCUGGCGUCAGCCUUUUUACCAACACAGGUGACGAUUAUACCUCUUACGUUCUCUUCAAGGUCUGACAGAGGGAUAUGAGGGUCUCACGUGUGGACCAUUAGGAGUAAUCCUUACUCAUUGAAAUCUGUUGGUAAUUGAAGAAGCGUUGUCUUGUUAAAUAUAUUUAUUUAUACACAUUAUAUACAUGGUUAGGGCGCCUUAUUCAUCUGUACCCAGGCUUCGGCUAACACAGAUGGAGGGAGGCAAUCACACAGACACUAGGGUUUGCUAUACCUCGGUUUUGUCGGCCGAACGUUUAGAGCUUAAAUUAGGGUCCCUCACACACACUCCUCCCUGUAAAAAUAGAGGUUCGCCUCUAGUUUUACACACAUUAGAAUAGGUGAAUUUGGGGUAGAGUUAGGGUAGAGUCAUUAUUUGGGUGU
Cydia pomonella (codling moth) is the source of this 1578-nucleotide long non-coding RNA. RefSeq lists it as uncharacterized. NCBI's taxonomy places the organism in Eukaryota, Metazoa, Arthropoda, Insecta, Lepidoptera, Tortricidae. The record is from RefSeq and is a predicted model, not a curated record. The transcript is spliced from 2 exons.